AGCGAACGCUGGCGGCAGGCUUAACACAUGCAAGUCGAACGGGCGUAGCAAUACGUCAGUGGCAGACGGGUGAGUAACGCGUGGGAACAUACCUCUUGGUUCGGAACAACACAGGGAAACUUGUGCUAAUACCGGAUAAGCCCUUACGGGGAAAGAUUUAUUGCCGAAGGAAUAGCCCGCGUCCGAUUAGCUAGUUGGUGUGGUAAUGGCGCACCAAGGCGACGAUCGGUAGCUGGCUGAGAGGAUGAUCAGCCACCAUUGGGACUGAGACACGGCCCAAACUCCUACGGGAGGCAGCAGUGGGGAAGUAUUGGACAAUGGGCGCAAGCCUGAUCCAGCCAUGCCGCGUGAGUGAUGACGGCCUUAGGGUUGUAAAGCUCUUUCAUCAGGGACGAUAAUGACGGUACCUGAAGAAGAAGCCCCGGCUAACUUCGUGCCAGCAGCCGCA
RNAcentral lists this ribosomal RNA (448 nucleotides) under uncultured bacterium. RNAcentral describes it as "bacterial SSU rRNA". It matches the Rfam family "Bacterial small subunit ribosomal RNA", at positions 29 to 519 of the family's 1533-position model. The record is from RNAcentral.